This is a long non-coding RNA of Hordeum vulgare subsp. vulgare (domesticated barley), 1421 nucleotides long. RefSeq lists it as uncharacterized. NCBI's taxonomy places the organism in Eukaryota, Viridiplantae, Streptophyta, Magnoliopsida, Poales, Poaceae. The record is from RefSeq and is a predicted model, not a curated record. The transcript is spliced from 2 exons.
GUUCUGUUCUCUCGGUGAAACACGACUUUGGACCACCGGUAGCGAAAUUUUCCACACACCACGUCAGGCGUAAGUAGUUUAGCCAUAGCACAUCACCAAACAUAUAGAUAACAUAUUUUCCUCACCGUCGGUUAGUUUCCCUUUGUCAAAUGCACCUGUGACCUGUCUGCUAUCAGGUUGCCUGCACGCAAGAGGCUUCAGGCCAACUCUGGAUUGCCAUACAGUUGAGCUGAAGCUACAGCUGACCUACACCACCCAGCACGUCCCACACGGACACUCGAGACAACGCUCGAGCUGAAGCCUCCUAAAGGCUAGAGAAAUGUUUCCUAUGCCAGGGGCGACCACCUACAUGCCGUGUAUGCAUCGGAUGGAGACUGUCGCCAUAUGGCUCGCAAUCUUGCUGCUCAUACAUUCUGUUUUCGACGGGUUGCUGCUCUGAUUUGGUGCGGUGGUGCCGGUCGUUUGGUGCGCAGAAUGGUCCUCUGAUAUAGCCAGGCAGGACCAGAGAAUUGACGGCUCAAACAGUUGCUCUUUGCUUUUUCUUUCUUUCUUUCUGAUUCUGGUUUUUGUUUUUUGCAGGAACAUCUCUUCCUCUGUUCAGGACAGGGCGUCGCGGCAGCCUAGCAAACCAGUGCACCCAUAGACAAAAUAAAAAUAGAAAUGCAGUCUAGAUUUGAUGUGUGCCACUGCUGAAGAAGGCUCUGAUUAUCUACUACUCCCACUAUCGGCUCAAGCAUAACUCAAUCAUCUGAGGAACAGAGCUAGUGCGAGGCCUCGCCCACGCUAGCUGCUGCUGCUACCUAGGAUUCCUAGGAAUGACUACUUACUUGCUUGCUCUUCCGUCCUUGCGAGCGUGGUGGGGUGUUAGGUGCUGCUAAAAGUUGCGGAUCAUAGGCGCCUGAUCCUCGACGGCAACAUACAUGCACAUAGUGGCGAUGGCGGCCGACGGUGCAUGGGGGAGCAGUUGUUGUACGUGGACAGGCGCGCGCAGGGUGCUGGCCGCCGUGAUGAUUAACCUAGUGGUGGUGGUCUUGGAGAUCAAAUCACUCUGCAAAGCUGCUGCAGGCCAAGGGGGUUAUGGUGGAGGGAGAAUCCUUGGCCUUGGCCUUUUGAUUGUGCGUCUGGCUUUCGCCAUGCACGAGUUACGCCGUUAGCGCGCAUGAUGAUGAUGCUUCGUAGGCCACGACCGGUCCGGCCUGCCCAUGCAUCAUCUGCAUAAGCAUGAUGCCAGAACUUUGUCAUAACUAGAUCACGCCCUAUAAUUGAACUCGACGUGUGAUAGUUUAAAGCAAGCUCCAUCAUGCGUGUGCUUUGUUUCUUUCGGAUGUUGUUGCUGCUGCUGUUAGAUACUCAUGAGUGUUGUUUAUGCUUAUGCGAUUAAUUUGGUUAAGCCAAGUACUGUACAUGCAUGCAUGAUUUAA